UACAGAGGUCUCAAGCGUUGUUCGGAUUCAUUGGGCGUAAAGGGUGCGUAGGCGGCGCGGUAAGUCGGGCGUGAAAUCUCGGAGCUUAACUGCGAAACUGCAUUCGAUACUGCCGUGCUUGAGGACUGGAGAGGAGACUGGAAUUUACGGUGUAGCGGUGAAAUGCGUAGAUAUCGUAAGGAAGACCAGUGGCGAAGGCGGGUCUCUGGACAGUUCCUGACGCUGAGGCACGAAGGUCAGGGGAGCAAACGGG
RNAcentral lists this ribosomal RNA (253 nucleotides) under uncultured bacterium. RNAcentral's name for it is "partial 16S ribosomal RNA". It matches the Rfam family "Bacterial small subunit ribosomal RNA", at positions 524 to 776 of the family's 1533-position model. The record is from RNAcentral.